UCAGGUAAGUCAGUGGUGAAAGCCCAUCGCUCAACGGUGGAACGGCCAUUGAUACUGUCUGACUUGAAUUAUUAGGAAGUAACUAGAAUAUGUAGUGUAGCGGUGAAAUGCUUAGAGAUUACAUGGAAUACCAAUUGCGAAGGCAGGUUACUACUAAUAUAUUGACGCUGAUGGACGAAAGCGUGGGUAGCGAACAGGAUUAGAUACCCUGGUAGUCCACGCCGUAAACGAUGGAUACUAGCUGUUGGGAGCAAUCUCAGUGGCUAAGCGAAAGUGAUAAGUAUCCCACCUGGGGAGUACGAACGCAAGUUUGAAACUCAAAGGAAUUGACGGGGGCCCGCACAAGCGGUGGAGCAUGUGGUUUAAUUCGAUGAUACGCGAGGAACCUUACCAAGGCUUAAAUGUAGAUUGACCGGUUUGGAAACAGACUUUUCGCAAGACAAUUUACAAGGUGCUGCAUGGUUGUCGUCAGCUCGUGCCGUGAGGUGUCAGGUUAAGUCCCGCAACGAGCGCAACCCUUGUCAUUAGUUGCUACAUUUAGUUGGGCACUCUAAUGAGACUGCCGGUGACAAGCCGGAGGAAGGUGGGGAUGACGUCAAGUCCUCAUGGCCCUUAUAGGUGGGGCUACACACGUCAUACAAUGGCUGGUACAAAGGGUUGCCAACCCGCGAGGGGGAGCUAAUCCCACAAAGCCAGUCGUAGUCCGGAUCGUAGUCUGCAACUCGACUACGUGAAGUCGGAAUCGCUAGUAAUCGUGGAUCAGAAUGUCACGGUGAAUACGUUCCCGGGUCUUGCACACACCGCCCGUC
Molecule: ribosomal RNA, 809 nt
Filed under: uncultured Bacteroidota bacterium
Lineage: Bacteria; Pseudomonadati; Bacteroidota
Description: bacterial SSU rRNA
Rfam family: Bacterial small subunit ribosomal RNA
Source: RNAcentral